AAGAAAAGAAAAGGAAAAGGGUCACUUUCUUCUCCUAAUCUCCUUCUUCUUCCAUGUCAAUGCAUCUUCUGUUGGAAUAAUUAAUAAUUCCAUAUGUGGGUUUCACAUUCGAUUGCAAAAUUUUACGUGUUAGAUAUAUGGCUCAUAAUGGUAAUUGUAUUUGGGCCAAAUUUAUUAAGUGAUCAAUUGGGCCUUUUACACUUUACGGGUUGUAAUUAUUUUAAUGUGGUAAUUUAAAGUAUGUGGGCCGGAAAUAAACCCUAAUUAGAAUUCUAGUCGUAAUGGGACGGCUCAAUUAUUUCCUAUAUAAAGGCUAGGUCCCCUCUCCUCUCCAUAUGUUUUAUUGGCUUGCCCCAUUGAUAGCUAUUACUUUGUGAGGAGUAAGGAGGGGAAAAUCUUGGUUGCUAUUACAACAAUUAUUCAUAUCAACAAUGGCUUCCGCAAGUAUGAAUUCGUUUUAUUAAUUUAUUAUGUGGUGAUUCUUGAUUCUUAACAUGAUAGAACUUAAAUAUUAACAAUUGGUAUCAGAGCCUCGUGUUAAGAUCAAAAUCCAUAAUUAAAAACCAAUUAUUGUUUUAAACCCUUUUGUCCUUGCAUUAAAAGUUUUCUGUGCAUAUAAUUCGUGUAUGUAUAUAUAAGUAUAUGCAUAGCUUGAACACGAUGGACUGCCCCCUUCUACUUCCCCAAAUUUAUAGAUUUGGUUCUCUGCAAAACCACCGUAUUCUUGCUCCCUCGUACGUGUAUUUUUCCUCCUACUCUUUACCAAAGAUGGAGAGAUUUGUGUAUUGAAUUUAAAAAGCCCUAUUGAAUACGAUUCAAAAUUGCGGUGGCCAGUUUGAUGAAUUCGUUCAUAUGGAUUCAGUUUUCAAUUGUGAAUAAAUUCCAUUUGUUUAACAAUUUGCAGCUACCACAUGAAAUUAGAUAAGUGUUGAAUCCAAUUUUUUAAUUGUGGAAGUCAUUGACAUUGUUUAUUGAAACUCAGCAAUUGUGAAAUUAUUUUUUAAUGGCCUGCAAUGAUUUCUUUAAGGGGAUGUGGGGGGCCGCUUGAUUUUGAGUGCCAUUUUGUUUUUUAAUAUGGGCCAGUUGAAACCUAUAUAAAAAAAAAAAAAAAAUUUCUAGAAACGGGCAGAGUAAAUGGAGACGGGGGCCUCUCUUGCAAUUUAUGAGUUUAGAGACCCCUGUGUGCAAUUAAGUGAGCAAUUUCUAAAAUAAGGACCUGUCAAGCAAUUUUAAAUAUUGAGGGACCUAUUUUUAAUUUAAAUUCAUGGUUAAUAUGUAAUUUUCAAAGGGUAUUAAAUUGAACUUUUAAAAGGUUCAACCCUAAGAUUUCAAUUUCAACUCAAUUAAAAUUUUAUUUAAAUUUGACCCGAUUAAAAUUAUAUAUUGAAUAAAUAAUAAAAUUAAUUGACGACUUUUGUAUUAUUUCAUUUAAAUGUUGUCAUUAUCUGCGAGUUUAAAUUUCAAUUUUUAUAUAUAUUGAAAUAUUGAAUUUUGUUGCCCAUUUUGUUUCCAAAUUACAUAUAAAUUUUACCGUUUAUCGAUUAAUGAUUAUGAUUUGUUACAUGAUUAUUAUUUUGUGAUUGAAUUUUUCUAUGGGCCUUGCGACGAUUCUUGUUUUCCCACUAAGAGAAAUAUUUUGAAAUAAAAAUGGGUGGUAGCUGCCAAAGUGGCACACUCAUUAUUAUUUAUUCGAUUUCUCUACAAUAAAAAUACAUAUAUUUUUGCCCAACAACUUUUGAUUUAUUGCAUAUAAUAUAUCGCCCAAAGGUGUUAGUAUAUGUAAUAUUUUUGGAAAAUGGCAUGAGAAAGUUUAACGAGAUUAUUUUGGUUCAGAAAUUCCUUCUGCCCAAAGGUGUUGGAAUUUUGAAAACCAAUGAGUUUUUGCUGACUAGCUGCAUGAUGUGUUUUAAGAGUACCUUAUAGCAUGUUGUAUUGUUGACCCAAAGGUGACUUUAUGAUGAUGCACCUAAACUCUUACCGUAAUAAAAUUCAUAUAUUUCGAUUUAAAUUACGAAUUAUCUAAUUAAUAGCCCAUAUUAAUUAGUUGGAUAUUUCAUCAUCCAUUUGAUUGCAUGCAUUACGUUUGGAUGAUAUUGAGUGUGAUAUUUUAUGCUUCCGCAGUUUAUAAUGCCUCAUCUCUUUCAAAUCAAAUGUCUGCUAUUGAAACUUUGACUGAGAAUAACUAUGUGAGAUGGAAACGAGACGUAGAAAUAGUAAUUGGUCUUUUGGGCUUGGAUUUUGCAAUGGAGAAAAAGCUUGAAAAACCCACAGAUAAGAGUACCGUUGAAUAUGUAGUUGAGCAUGAAAAGUGGGAAAGGGCUAACAAACUUUGUUUGAAAAUCAUUAAGUGAUCGAUAUCUGAUUCCAUUCUAGGUGCCAUCCCUGAUAAUGAAAAUGCUAAAAGUUUUAUGGAUGCCAUAGGAGAAAAAUUUAUUGAGUCUGAUAAAGCCGAAACUGGGGAUCUGAUGGAUAAAUUUAUGAGCAUGAAAUAUGAUGGCACAAAUGGUGUUAGGGAGCAUGUCAUGAAAAUGAAAAAUAUAUCAUCUAAGUUAAAGUCUCUUGACAUUCCCAUUGCGGAGCCUUUCCUGGUCUAUCAUAUUUUGAAUAGACUUCCUAGCAAGUUUAAUCAGUUUAAGGUUGCUUACAAUGCUCAGCGGGAUAAGUGGAAUUUGAAUGACCUCAUAGCAGUGUGUGCCCAAGAAGAGUAUAGGAUGCGCCGUGAAACUGUUGAAAUUGUGCAAUUAGCUUUUCAGCCAUCACAGAAUAAGGAGCCUUCUCAUAAUCAUAAACCUAAGUUUCGUAAGGGUAAUAAGUCCCACCGAAGUCAGCAGAAUAAAAAUCUUAGUGGUCCCAAAGCAGUUAUAAAGAAAAAUGAUCAAUGCAAGUUUUGUAAAAAAAAGGGUCACUGGCAGAAAGACUGUUUUAAGUUCAAGACUUGGUUGGAAAAGAAGAAGAGUUCUUCAGGUAUUCCCUUGGCCUUAGUUUGUUUUGAGUCUUUUUUAGUAGAUGUACCUUUGAAUUCUUGGUGAUUAGACUCAGGAGCUAGUAUUCAUAUUGCGAAUUCCUUGCAGGGGUUCAUAAGCAAACGGAGGCCAAGUGAGAAUGAAGUAAGUUUGAGCGUUGCAAAUGGAUUCCAAGUGAAGGUUGAAUUCAUAGGAGUAGUGAAGUUAACUUUAGAAUCUGAUUUUUAUCUUGUUUUGGAAAAUACAGUUUAUGUACCGCAGAUGAGACGGAAUUUAAUUUCUAUACCAAAACUUGAUGCUUGUGGUUUUACAUUUAAUUUUGGUAAUGGAAUGGUUAAGUUAUUUAAUGAUUCUUGUUUGAUUGGAAAUGACAUUUUAUGUGAUGGUUUAUAUAAAUUAUCUUUGGCUUCUUUUGGUGAUGUCUCGUGUGUUACAAAUGUAUCAAAGAAAAGGGCUUUAAUUCGUGAAUCAUCCUCUAUGUUGUGGCAUAAGCGAUUGGGUCAUAUUUCUAAGGAUAGAAUGAAAAGAUUAGUAAAAGAUGAGAUACUUCAUUCCUUAAACUUCUCCGAUUUUGACACCUGUAUAGAUUGUAUAAGAGAAAAGUUAACUAAGUCUACGAGGAAGGGUUCGACUAGGAGUAAUGGAAUUUUGGACUUAAUUCACACUGAUAUCAGUGGACCUUUGCUUUCCACUAUAUGUGGGAAUAAAUAUUUCAUAACUUUCAUUGAUGAUUUCUCACGAUAUGGAUAUGUUUAUUUAAUUAACGACAAAUCACAUGCACUUGAGAAAUUCGAAGUUUUCAAACUGGAAGUAGAGAAAUAAUGUGGGAAAAAUAUCAAAGCUGUAAGAUCUGAUCGAGGUGGUGAGUACUAUGGGAAAUAUGACGAGUCUGGUCAAAAUAUGGGUGAUUUUGCAAAAUUUUUACAAGAGUGUGGAAUAGUGCUCCAAUACACCAUGCCAGGGACACCUGAGCAGAAUGGUGUUUCUGAAAGACGUAAUCGAACUCUAAAAGAUAUGGUUAGAAGUAUGAUGAGUAGAACAAAUUUGCCUGAAUAUUUGUGGGGUGAAGCCUUGAAAACAGCUAUGUAUAUUUUGAACAGAGUUCUAAGUAAAGCUGUUGCAAAGACACCUUUUGAAUUAUGGACAGGACGUAAGCCAAGUAUGGCUCAUUUUAAAGUUUGGGGAUGCCCAGCUGAGGUUAGGAUUUAUAAUCCAUUUGAAAAGAAAUUAGACCCUAAAUCAACUCCUGGCUACUUUAUUGGGUAUCCAGAUAGAUCAAAGGGAUAUAAGUUUUACUGUCCUAAUCGCAGCACUAGAAUUGUGGAGUCCAUUACUGCUAAGUUUCUGGAGAACGAUUUUGGAGAUAGUGGGAGUUCCACGUUGAGAGAAAUUCUUGUUGAACCCAAUCAAGUUGUUGUUCCAGUUCCCAUCAUACAGGAAAGAGUUGGUUCCCAAACAAUUGAAGUUGUUAAUGAAGAACCGAGGACCCAGGAGGAAUCUCCAAUUCCUCAAACAACGAUUGGAUCGGUUCCUGAGCCACAAGUUAGGAGAUCACAAAGGGAAAGAAGAUCUGCAUUGCCCAGUGAUUAUGUUACAUAUUUAUUGGAGAGCGAUUUUAAUAUCGGGCAUAUUGUUGAUCUUGUAACUUAUAAUAAAGCAUUGACAAGUUCUGAGGCAGAUAAAUCGAUAGCUGCCAUGGAAGAUGAAAUGAAUUCCAUGGAAAUGAAUAAAGUUUGGGAUCUUAUUGAACUUCCUCUAGAUGUUAAGGUUGUAGAUAACAAGUGGAUUUUCAAAAGUAAAUUAGAUUCAAAAGGAAAUGUUGAACGAAAGAAAGCAAGAUUGGUUGCAAAAGGUUUCACUCAACGAGAGGACAUUGAUUAUGUUGAAACCUUCUCCCCUGUUUCAUCGAAAGAUUCUUUUCGAAUUAUCAUGGCUCUUGUGGCACACUACAAUUUGGAGUUUCAUCAAAUGGAUGUUAAAACAGCAUUUUCGAAUGGAGAUCUUUCUGAAUUGGUUUAUAUGAAACAACCUGAAGAUUUUGUUGUAAAAGGAAAAGAAAACUUGGUGUGUAAGUUAAACAAAUCCUUAUAUGGUCUCAAGCAAGCAUCUCGACAGUGGUAUUUGAAAUUUGAUGAGGUUGUAACAUUUCUUGGUUUUAUUGAAAAUACUAUUGAUCAAUGCAUUUAUCUUAAAACCAGUGGGAAAAAUUUUAUUUUCCUUGUAUUGUAUGUUGAUGACUUUCUACUUGCUAGCAGUAACUUAGGGCUGCUUCAUGAGACAAAGAAAAUGUUGUCUGCUAAUUUUGAGAUGAAAGAUCUGGGAGAAGCUUCCUAUGUACUUGGCAUUAAAAUACAUCGUGAUAGAAAUCGUGGUUUAUUGGGACUUUCUCAGAAAGCUUAUAUACAACGUGUUCUAGAAAGGUUUAAUAUGCAGAAUUGUGCACCUGGUGAUGUACCUAUCAUAAAAGGAGAUAAGUUUAAUAAAACUCAAUGUCCAAGGAAUGAGCUGGAAAGGGAGUCCAUGAAGAUGAUCACAUAUGCUAGUGCUGUGGGAAGCUUAAUGUAUGCUCAAGUUUGCACUAGACCGGAAUAGCCUACGCAAUAAGUGUCCUUAGCAGAUUUCAGUCUAAUCCAGGACAAGAGCAUUGGAAAGCAGCUAAAAAAGUAAUGAGAUAUUUGAAGAAAACUGAAAGUUAUAUGCUUACAUUCCAACGUACAAAUCAUCUUGAGGUGGUAGGAUAUUCAGAUUCUGAUUUUGCUGGAUGUCAAGAUGAUUUGAAAUCAACCUCAGGUUACAUUUUUACAUUAGCUAGUGGUGCCAUUUCUUGGAAAAGUGUUAAACAGACUUUAGUGACAUCUUCUACUAUACAAGCUGAAUUUGUGGCAUGUUAUGGGGCUACAGUCCAAACCAUUUGGCUAAGAAAUUUUAUCUCUGACUUGAAAGUUGUUGAUUCCAUCUCAAGACCAAUCACUAUCUACUGUGAUAACAGUGCAGCAGUAUUCUUUUCAAAGAAUAAUAAAAGUUCUGGUGGAUCAAAACAUAUUGACAUCAAAUAUUUGGUUGUUAGAGACAGAGUCAAAGAAGGGCAGACGAAAAUAGAGCAUAUCAAUACAGAGGCGAUGGUUGCAGAUCCCUUGACUAAGGGACUUGCUCCAGAAGUUUUUAAGACACAUGUUACUAAUAUGGGUAUUAUGGAAACAUUUGAUAUUUUUGGUUAGUGGGAAUUAUUUAUGUAAAAAACUACGUUUUGGGCUUGAUCCCUUUACGGGGUACGUAGGCAACCCAUAUGUUUUCGGGUACAGCCCCUUCUGAUAAUAAAAUAAUUUUUCCCCUAUUCAUGAACUAUUUUAAGCAUGCAUUUGACUUAUGUCUUUUUAUAUUAUUGAUAUCUUGAAAGACAUAAAAAUGAGUCUCUUUUGGAGACAUGUGGCUUCAUUUUGAUUCGAAGCGUUAUGAGGACCGAUAUGAGUUAGCACAGUUUUUGAUCACAUUUGGUACUAAGUUCAUACCACAUACUACCACAUUGGUUGGAGGAUGGGGAUCCAUGUUGAUAAGGAUAUUGACAUUUGUAGCUGUGGAAUGGUCUUACGUCUCUUAAAUUGGUGUAAUGACUUCCAUGUUCGGUGUUAAUAUUCUUGUUGGACCGGAUCAUGUUACGUAAGGUGUUAUCAUUGGAGCUAUACUUUUGUGGCCACCUAUGUAGUCUAACCCGGGUGUUAAAACUUUGUUAUGGCAAUCAAAUGUCUGCCCAAGUGGGAGAAUGUUGGAAUAAUUAAUAAUUCCAUAUGUGGGCUUCACAUUGGAUUGCAAAAUUUUACGGAUUAGAUAUAUGGCUCAUAAUGAUAAUUGUGUUCGGGCCAAAUUUAUUAAGUGAUCAAUUGGGCCUUUUACACUUUACGGGUUGUAAUUAUUUUAAUGUGAUAAUUUAAAGUAUGUGGACCGGAAAUAAACCCUAAUUAGAAUUCUAGUCGUAAUGGGACGGCUCAAUUAUUUCCUAUAUAAUGGCUAGAUCCCCUCUCCUCUCCAUAUGUUUUAUUGGCUUGCCCCAUUAAUAGCUAUUACUUUGAGGAGCAAGGAGGGGAAGAUCUUGGCUGCUAUUACAACAAUUAUUCAUAUCAACAAUGGCUUACGCAGGUAUGAAUUCGUUUUAUUAAUUUAUUAGGUGGUGAUUCUUUAUUCUUAACAUGAUAGAACUUAAAUAUUAACAUCUUCAUCCUCAAAUUCUUAUCCCUUUCUUCCUCAUUUGUUCUUUAUCACGCCCUCCAAAAAUUACACACCGAGAAAGGAGAAGUCGUUAUUUUGAAUUCAUUUAGUGUUAAAUUACGAAUACUACUGCUGAUUUUUGGAAAGAAUGAGCACGGAAGAGCUUCUUAAUAUCGAUCCUCCAGUGCUGAGUUUCCCAU
RNAcentral lists this long non-coding RNA (7366 nucleotides) under Olea europaea (common olive). Its description in RNAcentral is "long non-coding RNA (OEUR_LNC001660)". The record is from RNAcentral. Lineage: Eukaryota; Viridiplantae; Streptophyta; Magnoliopsida; Lamiales; Oleaceae.